This 74-nucleotide transfer RNA is filed under the name Patescibacteria group bacterium. RNAcentral's name for it is "tRNA-Trp". It matches the Rfam family "tRNA". Rfam says of the family: Transfer RNA (tRNA) molecules are approximately 80 nucleotides in length. Their secondary structure includes four short double-helical elements and three loops (D, anti-codon, and T loops). Further hydrogen bonds mediate the characteristic L-shaped molecular structure. tRNAs have two regions of fundamental functional importance: the anti-codon, which is responsible for specific mRNA codon recognition, and the 3' end, to which the tRNAs corresponding amino acid is attached (by aminoacyl-tRNA synthetases). tRNAs cope with the degeneracy of the genetic code in two manners: having more than one tRNA (with a specific anti-codon) for a particular amino acid; and 'wobble' base-pairing, i.e. permitting non-standard base-pairing at the 3rd anti-codon position. The record is from RNAcentral.
ACCGGCGUAGCUCAGUGGUAGAGUAGCGGUCUCCAAAACCGUUGAUAGAGGUUCGAUUCCUCUCGCCGGUGCCA